RNAcentral lists this ribosomal RNA (753 nucleotides) under uncultured bacterium. RNAcentral describes it as "bacterial SSU rRNA". It matches the Rfam family "Bacterial small subunit ribosomal RNA", at positions 8 to 796 of the family's 1533-position model. The record is from RNAcentral.
AGAGUUUGAUCAUGGCUCAGAACGAACGCUGGCGGGAUGUUUGAUACAUGCAAGUCGAGCGGGUAGGCUCCUUCGGGAGUACACGAGCGGUGGAUUGCUGAGUAACGCGUAUUAACGUACCCCAAACUGAGGGAUAAGCUCCAGAAAUGGUGUCUGAUACCGCAUGUGCUCUAAGGAGUAAAGCUUCGGCGGCUUGAGAACGGCCUGCGUUCGAUUAGCUUGCUGGUGAGGUAAUGGCUCACCAGGGCGACAAUCGGUAGCUGGUCUGAGAGGAUGAUCAGCCAGACUGGGACUGAGAUCGGCCCAGACUCUCUACGGGAGGCAGCAGUAGGGAAUUUUCCACAAUGGGCGAAAGUCUGAUGGAGUAUCGCCGCGUGCAGGAUGAAUGCCUUCGGGUUGUAAACUGCUUUUAUCUGUCACGAAUAUGACGGUUGCAGAUGAAUAAGCUUCGGCUAACUCCGUGCCAGCAGCCGCGGUCAUACGGAGGAAGCAAGCGUUAUCCGGAUUUACUGGGGGUAAAGCGUGGCGUAGGUGGCAAAGUGUGUCAGUAGUGAAAGCGUGUGGCUCAUCCAUAUACACAUUGCUGAAACUGCUCAUUUAGAGGACGAGAGAGGUUAUUGGAAUUCCCAGUGUAGGAGUGAAGUCCGUAUAUAUCGGGAGGAACUCCGAUGUAGUAGGCCGAUAACUGGUUUGUUCCUGACACUAAGUCUCGAAAGCGUGGGGAGCAUUCGUGAUUAGAUACCCUCGUAGUCC